RNAcentral lists this ribosomal RNA (130 nucleotides) under uncultured Nitrosomonas sp. Its description in RNAcentral is "partial 16S ribosomal RNA". It matches the Rfam family "Bacterial small subunit ribosomal RNA", at positions 355 to 478 of the family's 1533-position model. Lineage: Bacteria; Pseudomonadati; Pseudomonadota; Betaproteobacteria; Nitrosomonadales; Nitrosomonadaceae. The record is from RNAcentral.
UGGGGAAUUUUGGACAAUGGGCGAAAGCCUGAUCCAGCCAUGCCGCGUGAGUGAAGAAGGCCUUCGGGUUGUAAAGCUCCUUUAGUCGGAAAGAAAGAGUUGCAAUGAAUAAUUGUGAUUUAUGACGUAC